Molecule: RNA transcript, 2307 nt
Organism: Macadamia integrifolia
Lineage: Eukaryota; Viridiplantae; Streptophyta; Magnoliopsida; Proteales; Proteaceae
Exons: 5
Source: RefSeq, a predicted model, not a curated record
GUCCUUUUCGCUCCAUCCAUCUGCAUAUGGUCACUCCUCCAUACUGAGGCAUCCAAAGGCCUCCUUUGAAUAUGCCCAUACCAUCGUAACCGACAUUCUCUGAGUUUAUCCUGAAUUGAGGCAAUCUCCAAAUCGAAUCUAACCUGAUCAUUUUUUGUUCUAUCUAUCAGGGUUCUACCACACAUCCAAUUCAAUAUGUUUAGUAAUCAGUGGAGCCUAUCUCGAGCUUUAACCAUUCAAUACCAACUUUUGACACCUUAACCUAAACCAUACUUUUGUACAAGAUCUACCCAAUUUGGAUUGGCUUUUUGAUUUAGAUUAGGCUAAGUUACCAAUUUGAUUCGAUUUUUGAAACCCUAGCUAAAAUGCUUAUUUAAUUUCCUUUGGCUUCCAUGGUUCUUCCUUCCAUUAUACAUCAUAAAUAUUUUCAUCCUCCUCAUGGAAAGAGCUAAAAGAGUUGGGGCACGUCCAAAAUGAUUAUUGAAGAAUUGGUAAAGAAAGACAUAAAGAAGUUAUGUCUAUAUUACCAAUGAAACAGAAUUGUUUGGAGGACUAAGAUCUAUUUUACCGAUGGCAUUUAGUUCGGAUGUUCUAAAGAUGUUGCUUUGAUAUGUUUUUUUAUAUUUUUUAUAUCCAUUUCCUUUCUUUUGCUUGUAUCUUGCUCUAUCGCAGAUCUAUGUAAUUGACCUCAUUUAGGUAGAAAAAGGUUUUGAGGUUGUUGUUAUACACUCGUCCCCCCAUAUAGUUCAUCGUUGUGUUUUUAUUUCUCUCUUUUAACAUUGACCCAAGUCCCUAGUCCCAAGUUAGGGUUACGGCUUACAGGGGCCGGUUCUUCAUCGAUCUAGAUCGAAAGUGGCUGGGACCGAUACGGAUCCCCAUUCCGGGUUUUUAAUCCUCGCGGUCUUUCCUUGUCACUUUUGGAAGCCCAUACUAAAAAUAUCCUACUUGAAGCAGAAGUACUUCAGGUGCAAUCCCAGAUCAACUGCUUCUAUGUGGCCACAGAUCCACUCUCUCGUCUGGCUUAGGCUGCCCAGGCCCUGCUGGAGUUGCAGGCUGAUGCAUCAGAGAUACUUGGCAUGUGCUUCUUCCAAACUAUUGAAUGCGCCAAGAAGCUACAUUCCGAUGUAUUACAUAAGGCCAAACACUAUAAUCUCAAUGAAGGUUCUUCAAACACAAUACAGUGAACAGGUUAACCCAUCAGAAAUCUAGGGCCCUAUACAAGAGGGAAGAAGAACAAGGAGGAGAAGGGGAAAGAAACAAGAGUAGAGAAGAAGAAACAGAAGGACAAGAAGAGAAGGGGAAAAAGGAACAGAAAGGAGGAGGAGGAGAGGAAGAAGAAACUACUUUCAGAGAUGAAAGAAAGAAAAAUGCUGGCCUUUUUGGCGUUUCUGGACCAGAGGUCAAGGCACAAAGCUGGCUUGAGCCGCAGGAUCUUUUGCAAGUAUAAUGAAGGAUUCAGCACCACAAUGUCUUGUGCGGCUACCUUUGGGUGUUGAAAAACUCAUUGAUUCCCGAUCUUCAGGAAGAAAGGAAGGGUGUUUUCAUGCAUGGCACUGACUGCUGUCGUGUAGGUAAGGGAUAGUAGGAUACAGAGAUUCAAAACUCUUCCAGACCAUCCUUCAGAGAGAAUCUAGGGCAAAAGACCAUAUCACAGACUGGUUUCAUUUUGUGUGGAGUUUCACGGAGAUGCUUAAAGCCAAUAUAGACCUGUAGAUGAGCUUCUUUCAUAACCAGUAUUAUUCAGACCUGUAACCGUGUGGCUUUGUUUCUGGUUUAACAUCUUAAAGUAUAACACAAGCCUUUUGUGGGGUUUUCACCUCUAACCCAGAAUUGGUUGAUCAACUUAUAGCAACCUGUUAGAAAGUCCUAAAAAUACUCUUGUACACUUGCAUUUUCCUCACCCAAGUUUUUAAGUCUUCAAGAGUUUUUAGGUUAGUAAAAAGAGAAGAAACCUCCUUGAAGUUAUACAUUCCCUUCUCCAGUCCUCUUAUUGCUAAGAUUCUUCAAGUUCAAAUAAACUGAUGUUCUGUUUGCUUUUUGCAGAAGAGUUUGGACAUGAUCUGACUAUAAUGAGGCAUCUCUCUUAAAAAUACAGGUUUCCCAUAUUUCCCUCUAGGAAUUCCUGUUUUCAGUCAAAAGAACUUCUGAGCCCUCAAAAAAAAAAAAAAAAAAAAAAAAAAAAAAAAAAAAAAAAAAAAAAAGCUUGUGACAAUCAACUUCUUAUCUGUAGAGCUUUGAUAGAGUUGUACAAUCCAAAUGAAUGUUGUUUGUGUUUCUCAAUGACAAAGAUACCUGAAAGGUUAGCAA